GCGUGAUCUGAUGGACCUGGCAGAGCCAAAAAAUAAGCUCAAACCAAAAGACUGAAAAUGCUGUGUGGACUGAGCUUGUUACGUACGGGUGAGUAACUUCUGUCGGAUGGGAUAAGUGUCUACGGUACAGCUGGACUAGAGGGAUCGAUAGAGAGCGUCUAGAGAACUCGGGUACAAGCGCUGAGUUGCACCAGCCUGACAGCUACAAGCGGAGUAACGCCAGUGAACCUGAACAGGCAAAUUCUGCAUAGUCAGAGGAGCAAAUUUCCUCCCAUUAAACCGUUGAUAUCCAAAGCUGACUUCUACCCAAGUGACUCAGCGGUUCCUCACAUGGCGCGUCACUGAGGUGCGCACUGCACUAACUCAUAAUGUAUUUGAGUUUAGGCAAAAAUGUACAGCAGUUACGGCAGAUAGUAUUCUGCUUGGUUUCACACGAAUUAAACAGACAAAAAGUUCUUCAAAUUCUUCCAUAGAAAGGCGACCAACCAAAAAAAUAAGAAUUGGGAAUUUGGAAAACGAUGUAAUACAGUGAGCUAUACCUUACUAUGUUUAACAAUUCGGGAUAGAAGUAAAACACCUGGACUAACAACAGAACUGUCAGGAUUAAACCGGCUUGUAGUGGACAGUUUUGGGACAUGUGCGUGAUUGUCUGAUGCAUUUGACUGCUGAGAGGUCACACAGAGGUAAUGGGAAGUUAUUGAGUCCCAGGUUCAUGGUUCACGGUGAGGUUAAAGAUACCGUUACUCGCUCUCGGCGUUAAGUCCUCUUCCUUCCUAAAAGAGGAUGUGCCUAGCCACCGCGCACUUAUGUUUGUUUUCAUAGGUUUAUGUCAUUGGCCCAAACAGGAACGCACAAUAACAUCAUGACGUCAUAGACUAAAAGUCUUUUCUUUCGUCCUUCUUUGUAAAAUCACAGAAGGCCUGUCUCCGAACUCAAGUCAAGUCCUUUGUCUUUGUCUAUUUUUAGUCUCCUAGCCCAGAAUAUGUAGCGUUUGAGAACUGACAGUUUUCAUUCAUAGGGAAAAACAACUACAGCACACAACGUCUAUAUGCAGAUUUGAACGGAUAAUAUGAUUGACAGCUCUGAUAAUCUGUAACGUACCAUUCAAAAAUGUAAUUCUGUAAAAAAAAAUUGACUUGUGUAAUAUAUAAUAUAAA
This is a long non-coding RNA of Clarias gariepinus (North African catfish), 1157 nucleotides long. RefSeq lists it as uncharacterized. Lineage: Eukaryota; Metazoa; Chordata; Actinopteri; Siluriformes; Clariidae. The record is from RefSeq and is a predicted model, not a curated record. The transcript has 3 exons.